GAUGAACGCUGGCGGCGUGCCUAAUACAUGCAAGUCGAACGAGAGCGACCGGUGCUUGCACUGGUCAAUCUAGUGGCGAACGGGUGAGUAACACGUGGGUAACCUGCCCAUCAGAGGGGGAUAACAUUCGGAAACGGAUGCUAAAACCGCAUAGGUCCUUUAACCGCAUGGUUGAAGGAGGAAAAGAGGCGCAAGCUUCUGCUGAUGGAUGGACCCGCGGUGCAUUAGCUAGUUGGUGAGGUAACGGCUCACCAAGGCCGUGAUGCAUAGCCGACCUGAGAGGGUGAUCGGCCACAUUGGGACUGAGACACGGCCCAAACUCCUACGGGAGGCAGCAGUAGGGAAUCUUCCGCAAUGGACGCAAGUCUGACGGAGCAACGCCGCGUGAGUGAAGAAGGUUUUCGGAUCGUAAAACUCUGUUGUUAGAGAAGAACAAGUGCUAGAGUAACUGUUAGCGCCUUGACGGUAUCUAACCAGAAAGCCACGGCUAACUACGUGCCAGCAGCCGCGGUAAUACGUAGGUGGCAAGCGUUGUCCGGAUUUAUUGGGCGUAAAGCGAGCGCAGGCGGUUCCUUAAGUCUGAUGUGAAAGCCCCCGGCUCAACCGGGGAGGGUCAUUGGAAACUGGGGAACUUGAGUGCAGAAGAGGAGAGUGGAAUUCCAUGUGUAGCGGUGAAAUGCGUAGAUAUAUGGAGGAACACCAGUGGCGAAGGCGACUCUCUGGUCUGUAACUGACGCUGAGGCUCGAAAGCGUGGGUAGCAAACAGG
This 767-nucleotide ribosomal RNA is filed under the name uncultured Granulicatella sp. RNAcentral describes it as "bacterial SSU rRNA". It matches the Rfam family "Bacterial small subunit ribosomal RNA", at positions 28 to 776 of the family's 1533-position model. The record is from RNAcentral. Lineage: Bacteria; Bacillati; Bacillota; Bacilli; Lactobacillales; Carnobacteriaceae.